RNAcentral lists this ribosomal RNA (592 nucleotides) under Argulus japonicus. Its description in RNAcentral is "SSU rRNA". It matches the Rfam family "Eukaryotic small subunit ribosomal RNA", at positions 567 to 1154 of the family's 1831-position model. Lineage: Eukaryota; Metazoa; Arthropoda; Ichthyostraca; Arguloida; Argulidae. The record is from RNAcentral.
UCAGCAGCCCGGGUAAUUCCAGCUCCAAUAGCGUAUAUUAAAGUUGCUGCGGUUAAAAAGCUCGUAGUUGGAUCCCAGUUGCAGACGGGCGGUCCGCCUCAUGGCGGUUCACUGCCCCGUUCUCGACAUACCUCCGGUUAUAUUUGUCCCGCGAUGCUCUUUACCGGGUGUCGCGGGGGGCCGGUACGUUUACUUUGAAAAAAUUAGAGUGCUCAAAGCAGGCGAUGGCCAGAAUAAUGGUGCAUGGAAUAAUGGAAUAGGACCUCGGUUCUAUCUUGUUGGUUCUUCGGAACACGAGGUAAUGAUUAAUAGGGACGGACGGGGGCAUUCGUAUUGCGACGUUAGAGGUGAAAUUCUUGGAUCGUCGCAAGACGAACUACUGCGAAAGCAUUUGCCAAGAAUGUUUUCGUUAAUCAAGAACGAAAGUUAGAGGUUCGAAGGCGAUCAGAUACCGCCCUAGUUCUAACCAUAAACGAUGCCAACCAGCGAUCCGUCGGCGUUACUUCGAAUGACCCGACGAGCAGCUUCCGGGAAACCAAAGUUUCUGGGUUCCGGGGGAAGUAUGGUUGCAAAGCCGAAACUUAAAGGAAUG